UUUACUUUAGGUAAAAUGAAUGCUCUCCUCUGAAAGUGUGAAAUAGAGCAUGAAGAACUGAGCAAGCACCAGGAAGGACUUCCCAGACCUAGCAGCAGGCUCAGGAUGCAGCUAGUGUGUCCAGGCUCUGGCAUGGCCAGUCAGAAGAGAAAUUAUUCAUGGAUGUGGCAGAGGGUCUGCUGAGUACCGCGUCCAGCAAGGAAUGAAUGGGACUGAAGUGGAUGGAUACCAUCAUGGCAGUAGCAUCUUCCAGCAGAGGAUUUAUGGCAGCUAAAAUUCACCCUGGUUGGAAACCUAGUAAUCAUACCUUGCUUUGGAGGAGAAAAAUUUCUGUGGGGAAGGAAAUUGCUUUAUCGAUUCUACCUUGAAACCACAGAUACAGAGAUGAGCAUCCACAGCACCCAGAGGCCAGUGCCAGGCCCAGCUCAAGAGCAGGCAGAGUCAUCUUGGAAGACCUGGAAGAAAUAUUAAUGCUGCCCUUGAGAAUGGCUUGCUUUGUCAAGUAAAUCCUGUGGACAAGAUACUUUUUCCUCUUGGAGUGUACCAAGGGCUAUUCUCUGUGGCUGCAUAGGUACAGUCCAGCAAAUGACACAACUUUCCCCUUUAUGAACAACAACAAAAAAAUUGUUCUCUGGAGUGUUGUUGGGGAGGGAGGAUCUGUAUGUCUUCCAAGUGGCACUGGAGGAGUGGGUAGCAAUGGGCCACUUUGAUUUGGUGAGCCGGUACAGACCAUGAGCCAGUGAUAUGCAGGAAUACGACCAUGAAGGUGUCCCAAGGCUUGCAUAAGGUGCCUCUGCGGAUGGAUUAAACUUGGCAGUGCUACAAAUAACACAUUCUCUACUGGAGAGUGUGUUCACAGAGAAGGAGAGUGGAUGACAAGAUCUGUAAGGAGAAGAGAGCAGCUCUG
Cyanistes caeruleus (blue tit) is the source of this 907-nucleotide non-coding RNA. The record is from RefSeq and is a predicted model, not a curated record. Lineage: Eukaryota; Metazoa; Chordata; Aves; Passeriformes; Paridae.